RNAcentral lists this ribosomal RNA (253 nucleotides) under uncultured prokaryote. RNAcentral's name for it is "partial 16S ribosomal RNA". It matches the Rfam family "Bacterial small subunit ribosomal RNA", at positions 525 to 777 of the family's 1533-position model. The record is from RNAcentral.
ACGGAGGGUGCGAGCGUUGUCCGGAAUCAUUGGGCGUAAAGCGCGCGCAGGCGGUCCUUUAAGUCUGAUGUGAAAGCCCACGGCUCAACCGUGGAGGGUCAUUGGAAACUGGGGGACUUGGGUGCAGAAGAGGAAAGUGGAAUUCCACGUGUAGCGGUGAAAUGCGUAGAGAUGUGGAGGAACAUCCGUGGCGAAGGCGACUACCUGGACCAGCACUGACACUGAGGCACGAAAGCGUGGGGAGCAAACAGGA